This 445-nucleotide ribosomal RNA is filed under the name uncultured bacterium. RNAcentral describes it as "partial 16S ribosomal RNA". It matches the Rfam family "Bacterial small subunit ribosomal RNA", at positions 28 to 523 of the family's 1533-position model. The record is from RNAcentral.
GACGAACGCUGGCGGCAGGCUUAACACAUGCAAGUCGAACGCCCCGCAAGGGGAGUGGCAGACGGGUGAGUAACACGUGGGAACGUACCCUUUGGUUCGGAAUAACUUGGGGAAACUCAAGCUAAUACCGGAUAAGCCCUUAUGGGGAAAGGUUUACUGCCGAAGGAUCGGCCCGCGUCUGAUUAGCUAGUUGGUGAGGUAAUGGCUCACCAAGGCGACGAUCAGUAGCUGGUCUGAGAGGAUGAUCAGCCACACUGGGACUGAGACACGGCCCAGACUCCUACGGGAGGCAGCAGUGGGGAAUAUUGGACAAUGGGCAACCCUGAUCCAGCCAUGCCGCGUGAGUGAUGAAGGCCUUAGGGUUGUAAAGCUCUUUUACCCGGGACGAUAAUGACUGUACCGGGAGAAUAAGCCCCGGCUAACUUCGUGCCAGCAGCCGCAGUAA